ACUUUUGGUGGAGGCACCAAACUCAUCGUUGACUUGGGAGUGGUGCAGCCCACGCUGAGCGUCCUCCCUCCCUCCAGAGUGGAGCUGGAGCAGGGCAGUGCUACACUAGUGUGUGUGGCCAGUGGGGGCUUCCCCUCAGACUGGAAGCUUGGCUGGAAGGUGGGGGGCAGCAGCAGGUCUGGGGGGGUGUCAGAUAGCCUGGGGGUCCUGGGGAAAGAUGGCCACUACAGCUGGAGCAGCACCUUGACCCUCCCUGCAGACCAGUGGAGGAAGGCGGGCUCAGUGAGCUGUGAGGCCAGUAAGAACGGCCAGACGCAGCCUGUCACUCAAACCCUGAAUCCUGGAGAGUGUUCAGAGUAGAGAGGCUCCAGCAUGGAAGAACUGGAGGAUACAGAUCUCCUCUGACACGUCUGCUUUAUGUCUCUGUCUAAGGUGGUGCGGUAGCUUUUGAUGAUUUACAUUAAUAUAACAUCAUCCUUUCUGGUUUUUACCCCUUGGUUGUG
Gadus chalcogrammus (walleye pollock) is the source of this 503-nucleotide non-coding RNA. The record is from the annotation of a RefSeq genome assembly. Lineage: Eukaryota; Metazoa; Chordata; Actinopteri; Gadiformes; Gadidae.